Molecule: long non-coding RNA, 1488 nt
Filed under: Sus scrofa (pig)
Lineage: Eukaryota; Metazoa; Chordata; Mammalia; Artiodactyla; Suidae
Description: lncRNA (ENSSSCG00060074503.1)
Source: RNAcentral
UCAAGGGUCCAGGAGUUUAUUAUGGUCGCAGUGCACAGGAGGGGCCCCUGAGGUCUCACUGAAAGCUUCUCCCCAGGGAAGGCCGCGGGCUGGAGCCCCCCUGCCGGGCCAGGCCAGGUGGGCGAGCUGGGCAAAGGGCAUGUGACAGGGCCUUGGUGGGACACCCCCCCACGACUUCUUAGCUGUGUGAUCUCAGGCAAGUCUCUUCACCUCUCUGGGCCUUGGCGGCCUCGUCUGUGAAAUGGAGUGAGUGACAAAAUCUACCUCGCUGUGUUAUGAGACUCCAUUGAGACUGUGCCUGGUGAGCUGUGAACACGCCGUGGGUGGAGGCUCUUGUUACCCUCGGGGCAGAUCAGAUGUCCUCACGGUCAGGCCAGCCCCAGCCCCAGUCUCUGUGGACCAGGGGGAGGGGUUCCCAGCCUUCGCAGAUGUCUUCAGUGGGGCCGAUUGGCAAGACAGCCUGAGACACGCGAGCCACCUGGUCCCUGGAACACAGUGUUCAGACCCCACAGCGAGGCUCCUGUGGCCAGGGCACCUCCUGUCUCUUCCAGUUCCAUGAAGAGCACCAAGAACGUUCUAGUGUUGCACCCGGACCUCUCCAGGUCUCUGUCAGUCAGUGUUUUCUACGUCUAUUCAGAUGGUCUUCCUUCUGUUUUUUAUUUCUGCAUUUUUCACUUUUGGCUACGGAGUUGCCACAAGCCACUGAACUUGGAAUCCGUCCUGGCUCUGUCUCAUGCUAUCUGCGUGAACUUGGGUUGGUCACUUCACCUCUCUGAGCCUCACCAGUCCCACUGACCUUCAGGAGCUUUGAGGGAGAAGGCAGGUGAUGCAAGUUAAAGUUGAGAGUGAUGGAGGCAUCAGAGCUCAUGAGGAGUGGGCAGGGCUCCAGUGGUCACUGGCUCAAAAGCGACUGGGGCCAAAGGAAUCUCCCUGCGUGUGUGUCUGCAGAGCCGUGCUCCUGGAGGGGGUGGAAGCAGGUGCCACCACAAGAGGGCACUGUGAGCUUUUUUGUUUUUAUCUUCACGGACAAGUUUUUAAUCUUUCUAUGUCUCCAUUCCAAAUUGAACUAAAAGUUAUGUUUUUUAGUUUACCUAACUAACAUAGUAAAGCUUUUUAAGUGGAUUUAGGCACAUGUAUUCAUUUGUCAGUAAUGCUGAUUUGAUACCCUGCCCCUGGACGCUUCCAAAGCGGGUGCCCCAACCCUUCAGCAGUGCCUGCCGCGGCUCCGAGAACGAAAGCAGCUGGGGUGCUGGCCCCUGGCCGCCGCCGAGUGCCCGGUACGCGUCCACAGCUGGACCCCGGGGGGGCACAGGGGAGCCCCGACUGCGCAGAGUCACCAGGAGAGAGUGGCAGAGGCAGGCCUCUCGGCCGGACCUGGCUCAGCUGACAGGUGGGCGCGUGGGAAUGCCCUGUCCUUCCCGGUGCCCCGAGCACCUGGCCCCCACGUACCGCUUCCUGAUGGUGCAGCAGAGCAGCUUCUCCCUUCCC